CAGCCGCCGCGGUAAUACGUAGGUGGCAAGCGUUGUCCGGAAUUAUUGGGCGUAAAGGGCUCGCAGGCGGUUUCUUAAGUCUGAUGUGAAAGCCCCCGGCUCAACCGGGGAGGGUCAUUGGAAACUGGGAAACUUGAGUGCAGAAGAGGAGAGUGGAAUUCCACGUGUAGCGGUGAAAUGCGUAGAGAUGUGGAGGAACACCAGUGGCGAAGGCGACUCUCUGGUCUGUAACUGACGCUGAGGAGCGAAAGCGUGGGGAGCGAACAGGAUUAGAGACCCCUGUAGUCCCUGUCUCUUAUAU
Molecule: ribosomal RNA, 301 nt
Filed under: uncultured bacterium
Lineage: Bacteria
Description: partial 16S ribosomal RNA
Rfam family: Bacterial small subunit ribosomal RNA
Source: RNAcentral